CCAGGCGGAAACGAAGCCUAACGUCCGUUUCUUUAAUAACUUUGCACCGGCUCGACGAAUCGCCGAACCGUCGCUUCCAACGCGUUCGUAGACCUAGCAAUUAGGUAAACAGAGGGUUAAAAGAGAUCAAACCCAACAAUUUAUAAAAAUCCCAUUUUGAGCCCUAGGUUUCAACUAUUGCAAGAAUACUCUACUACAACCUUAGAUUCAUGCAAUAAUCAUCUAUUAGGCAUCAAUGGGUUCCACUAAAACCAUUUCCAAAGCAUUUGGACCUAUCUUUAGAGAUCUACCAUUAAAGCCCUCAUUUUGGAGCUCUAGGUUUCAAUAGGUAAAAAUCCACCAUUAGAACUUAGAAUCUAAGCAUAACUCAUCUUCUUAGCAUCUAGGAAAGCUACUAAUUCGUUUCUAGAGCUUAAAACCCAAGCAAUAGAGAAAUGCCAUUAAAGCUCUUAAAGCUUACCUUCAAAGCAUGCUCCAAUGGAGAGGAAGAAGAUGAAGUUGAUGAAGAUCAACUUCCAAGCUUACUUCUCCACCAAAUCCAUCCAUUUUGGGAGAGAUUUAGAGAGAGAAAAUGGAAGGCUUCUCUUUCUCCCUCUUUCCAUGCGUGUGUGUGUGUGGCGUGUGCGUGUGUGGUGUGCGGCCGAAGGAGAAGAAGAAGCAUCAGCUUCUUCAUAAUACCCCUCAAACACUAUUCAUCCAGGCAACUUAAAAUCUGAUAACUUUCGCCGGAGCUCCCUGAAUGUCCGUUUGAGCUCAAACUUGACAGUCAUGUUCGGUUUUACUUAACUUAACAAGCUGACGAUCACUGGUUCAGUUUCAACUCCGUUUGGUCACUGAAAACUGUACCGAACUGCAAUCUUUAUCAGAUAGCUUUCGAAUUUUAUUUCUCACUCUACGGGUGUCAGAAAAAUGUGAAACCUUAAAUCUAGCCUCAUAAAAAUAUUUCUGACAUCUCUGCCAAUUUUCAUAAUUUUCUGAGACUGUGCAUUUUCUGCUAAUUUAUCUGCCCCGUUUCCAACAGAAAAUUCUAAAUCUUCUGUUUUAAUUCCGAUUUCAGCACAGGUCAUUCCCAACUUAUAUUUCACUUCUCCAAAUUCAAUAAAAAUAGUAUCUCAUACUAUUUUUAUUUAUUUCUUUUUUUUUUUAUAUUUAAAUCCGGUGUAUUAUAUUACACCGCAACCUUACCGGAACCAUUCAAAUGGCUCUCCAACCAAAUGGACACCGUAACCUCAUGAUUUUAGAAGUCCGGUACCUUACAUU
This 1260-nucleotide long non-coding RNA is filed under the name Ananas comosus (pineapple). RNAcentral's name for it is "long non-coding RNA (ACOM_LNC003232)". The record is from RNAcentral. Lineage: Eukaryota; Viridiplantae; Streptophyta; Magnoliopsida; Poales; Bromeliaceae.